GGGCGCAAGCCUGAUGCAGCCAUGCCGCGUGUAUGAAGAAGGCCUUCGGGUUGUAAAGUACUUUCAGCAGUGAGGAAGGUGGAUAUGUUAACUAGCAUAUUCAUUUGACGUUAGCUGCAGAAGAAGCACCGGCUAACUCCGUGCCAGCAGCCGCGGUAAUACGGAGGGUGCGAGCGUUAAUCGGAAUUACUGGGCGUAAAGCGCAUGCAGGUGGUUUGUUAAGUCAGAUGUGAAAGCCCCGGGGCUCAACCUCGGAAUUGCAUUUGAAACUGGCAAACUAGAGUACUGUAGAGGGGGUAGAAUUUCAGGUGUAGCGGUGAAAUGCGUAGAGAUCUGAAGGAAUACCGGUGGCGAAGGCGGCCCCCCUGGACAGAUACUGACACUCAGAUCGCGUAAAGCGUGGGGAGCAAACAGGAUUAGAUACCCUGGUAG
Molecule: ribosomal RNA, 432 nt
Filed under: uncultured bacterium
Lineage: Bacteria
Description: bacterial SSU rRNA
Rfam family: Bacterial small subunit ribosomal RNA
Source: RNAcentral